Molecule: ribosomal RNA, 279 nt
Filed under: uncultured bacterium
Lineage: Bacteria
Description: partial 16S ribosomal RNA
Rfam family: Bacterial small subunit ribosomal RNA
Source: RNAcentral
UGCCAGCCGCCGCGGUAAUACGUAAGUCGCAAGCGUUAUCCGGAAUUAUUGGGCGUAAAGCGCGUGUAGGCGGUUCGUUAAGUCUGAUGUGAAAGCCCGGGGCUCAACCCCGGAAGUGCAUUGGAAACUGGCGAACUUGAGUACGGGAGAGGAAAGUGGAAUUCCGAGUGUAGGGGUGAAAUCCGUAGAUAUUCGGAGGAACACCAGUGGCGAAGGCGGCUAACUGGCUCGGUACUGACGCUGAGAUGCGAAAGCGUGGGGAGCAAACAGGAUUAGAUA